Molecule: ribosomal RNA, 406 nt
Filed under: uncultured bacterium
Lineage: Bacteria
Description: partial 16S ribosomal RNA
Rfam family: Bacterial small subunit ribosomal RNA
Source: RNAcentral
AUUGAACGCUGGCGGCAGGCCUAACACAUGCAUGUCGAACGAGUGGCGGACGGGUGAGUAAUGUCUGGGAAACUGCCUUAUGGAGGGGGAUAACUACUGGAAACUGUAGCUACUACCGCAUACCAUCAUAUGUUCCCAGAUGGGAUUAGCUUUUUGGUGGGGUAACGGCUCACCAAGGCGACGAUCCCUAGCUGGUCUGAGAGGAUGACCAGCCACACGGGAACUGAGACACGGUCCAGACUCCUACGGGAGGCAGCAGUGGGGAAUAUUGCGCAAUGGGGGCAAGCCUGAUGCAGCCAUGCCUCGUGUAUGAAGAAGGCCUUCGGGUUGUAAAGUACUUUCAGCGGGGAGGCGUUACCCACAGAAGAAGCACCGGCUAACUCCGUGCCAGCAGCCGCGUUAAUUC